GCAGUACAAGGUUUAUCUGUGGU
RNAcentral lists this unclassified non-coding RNA (23 nucleotides) under Mus musculus (house mouse). Its description in RNAcentral is "oocyte_clustered_small_RNA11253". The record is from RNAcentral. Lineage: Eukaryota; Metazoa; Chordata; Mammalia; Rodentia; Muridae.